GGAGAAGAGAGAAAAUAGUUUAGGUUCUUCAGCUGCUCCUUUUAGACCUCAUUCUGUGGAAGGGUGAAACAUAAGUCCUGGCAGGAUGUUACAGCCAAAUGGUAGAAGAAAGCAGGCUGCCGUAUGGAGAGCUGUGCUGGGCAGAGGCAGCAGAGGGUCCUGCCUAAGGUCACCUUGCCUGUGCCAGAAGAGGCUUCCCUGGCAAUGAAGAGUACGUCACUUCUGAAAAGCAGCCAUGCUCACUGCUUUUACCUGCCUGCAGCACCUUGCCAUGGGGCAGAGGAGGAACACAAAGGCUGCCUCCACUCUCACAAGCAUCUCAAGCAUCUUCUCCUCCUUGAGCUGCUUUCCCCAAAGCUUGCGUGGUUCCUGAGCACUCAGCCAAGCCUUUCAGGUAGCCAGCACUGUUCACAUCAUAUUACAACAGGAUGCUUAUGA
This 438-nucleotide long non-coding RNA is filed under the name Anser brachyrhynchus (Pink-footed goose). RNAcentral describes it as "lncRNA (ENSABRG00000001093.1)". The record is from RNAcentral. Lineage: Eukaryota; Metazoa; Chordata; Aves; Anseriformes; Anatidae.